Molecule: unclassified non-coding RNA, 187 nt
Filed under: Paraglomus occultum
Lineage: Eukaryota; Fungi; Glomeromycota; Glomeromycetes; Paraglomerales; Paraglomeraceae
Description: partial contains 5.8S ribosomal RNA and internal transcribed spacer 2
Rfam family: 5.8S ribosomal RNA (bases 1-65)
Source: RNAcentral
GUGAAUCAUCGAAUUUUUGAACGCAAAUUGCGCCUUUUGCGAAAGGCAUGUCUGUUUGAGGGCACCAUUUAACAAAUAAUUUGCAUUUCAUGUGCACACGUUGAUAAGCUUUCCAAAGUGAUUAUUGAUUAUUUUUGUUGGCGCAUAAUGAACAGCACUAUACUUUUUUUCAUUGAGAGGUUAGUAA